This 301-nucleotide ribosomal RNA is filed under the name uncultured bacterium. RNAcentral's name for it is "partial 16S ribosomal RNA". It matches the Rfam family "Bacterial small subunit ribosomal RNA", at positions 509 to 807 of the family's 1533-position model. The record is from RNAcentral.
CAGUCGCCGCGGUAAUACGUAGGUGGCAAGCGUUGUCCGGAAUUAUUGGGCGUAAAGGGCUCGCAGGCGGUUUCUUAAGUCUGAUGUGAAAGCCCCCGGCUCAACCGGGGAGGGUCAUUGGAAACUGGGAAACUUGAGUGCAGAAGAGGAGAGUGGAAUUCCACGUGUAGCGGUGAAAUGCGUAGAGAUGUGGAGGAACACCAGUGGCGAAGGUGACUCUCUGGUCUGUAACUGACGCUGAGGAGCGGAAGCGUGGGGAGCGAACAGGAUUAGAUACCCGAGUAGUCCCUGUCUCUUAUAC